AACUGAUACUACCUGCGGGAACCUGCGGAGGGAUCAUUACAGGACUCGCAAGACUCCUACAACCCUGUGAACUUAACUAUAAGCACGUUGCUUCGGCGGGUGUCUCGGCGAGGGUUCUCCCUCCCCGGGGCGCUAAGCCCGCCGGCAGCCUACUAUACUCUGUCUCUUUGCGUUGGCAUCUCGAGUACAAACAAACAAGUUAAAACUUUCAGCAAUGGAUCUCUAGAUCGGAAGAGCACA
RNAcentral lists this unclassified non-coding RNA (240 nucleotides) under soil metagenome. RNAcentral's name for it is "partial contains 5.8S ribosomal RNA, internal transcribed spacer 2, and large subunit ribosomal RNA". The record is from RNAcentral.